AGCAGCCGCGGUAAUUCCAGCUCCAAUAGCGUAUAUUAAAGUUGUUGCAGUUAAAAAGCUCGUAGUUGAAUUUCGGGAUCAAUAUGUUGGUCGUGCCUCGGUACGUACUAGCAUAUUGGUUUCUCCUUUCUGAAGAACCAUUGAUGUCAUUCAUUUGGUGUCGUGGGGAAUCAGGACUGUUACUUUGAAAAAAUUAGAGUGUUUAAAGCAGGCUCACGCUUGAAUACAUUAGCAUGGAAUAAUGAAAUAGGACGUUUGAUUCUAUUUUGUUGGUUUCUAGGAUCGACGUAAUGAUUAAUAGGGAUAGUUGGGGGCAUUAGUAUUCAAUUGUCAGAGGUGAAAUUCUUGGAUUUAUUGAAGACUAACUACUGCGAAAGCAUUUGCCAAGGAUGUUUUCAUUAAUCAAGAACGAAAGUUAGGGGAUCGAAGACGAUCAGAUACCGUCGUAGUCUUAACCAUAAACUAUGCCGACUAGGGAUCGGAUGAUGUUAAUUUUUUAAUGACUCAUUCGGCGCCUUACG
This 521-nucleotide ribosomal RNA is filed under the name uncultured Glomeraceae. Its description in RNAcentral is "SSU rRNA". It matches the Rfam family "Eukaryotic small subunit ribosomal RNA", at positions 569 to 1092 of the family's 1831-position model. The record is from RNAcentral. Lineage: Eukaryota; Fungi; Glomeromycota; Glomeromycetes; Glomerales; Glomeraceae.